This 457-nucleotide ribosomal RNA is filed under the name uncultured organism. RNAcentral describes it as "partial 16S ribosomal RNA". It matches the Rfam family "Bacterial small subunit ribosomal RNA", at positions 332 to 797 of the family's 1533-position model. The record is from RNAcentral.
UACACUCCUACGGGAGGCAGCAGUGGGGAAUAUUGCACAAUGGGCGCAAGCCUGAUGCAGCGACGCCGCGUGGGGGAUGAAGGCCUUCGGGUUGUAAACUCCUUUCGCUAGGGACGAAGCUUUUUUGUGACGGUACCUAGAUAAGAAGCACCGGCUAACUACGUGCCAGCAGCCGCGGUAAUACGUAGGGUGCGAGCGUUGUCCGGAAUUACUGGGCGUAAAGGGCUCGUAGGUGGUUUGUCGCGUCGUCUGUGAAAUUCUGGGGCUUAACUCCGGGCGUGCAGGCGAUACGGGCAUAACUUGAGUGCUGUAGGGGUAACUGGAAUUCCUGGUGUAGCGGUGAAAUGCGCAGAUAUCAGGAGGAACACCGAUGGCGAAGGCAGGUUACUGGGCAGUUACUGACGCUGAGGAGCGAAAGCAUGGGUAGCGAACAGGAUUAGAAACCCUUGUAGUCCCA